GGAUUUUAUUCUCUCCAUUUUACAGAUGGGGAAACCCAGGCUCCGAAAGUAAAGAGCUUUUCCUCUGUGGGCCUCAGAAUCUGAGAAGUUCAAUCAAGUUCUCAGGAGCCCUUCCAGCACCCCCAGUCCUCGACUGGGGAGGGGCCAUCUGCAGUCUGACAGCUGCUCUCAGGGCAGAGAUCUCCAUCCAAAGCAGCAGGCCCUCCUCUCUCCACUGCCCACCCAGCAGCUUCUGGGCCCAGCCAGGCCCAUUAGGGAUUUUCCACCUCCCCGAAAAGGUCCUAAUGACUGUCAGUCCUUGUGAAGCCUUAAUUAAUCUCAGAGGCCGAUGGCUCAGAGGAGACUGGGGGCUUUGGCCUUACGCAGAUGAAGAUUGCGGCUCUAUUUCAUGUGGUGGUGAAGGAACGCCUCAGACAUUCCUGCCAGCAAUAAAAGCCACAUGGCUUUCCAGCGUCGCCCUUGGAAAAGAAAAAAAGUGCAGCCCUUUGCGGAAAGAAAUCAACUAUGUGCUGUACGCAUGGCAUGAGAUACAAAUGGGCACACGGAGGUGGGGAACAGUCGGUCUUUUAUGCCACCUCUGAUGUCCACUGACAGAGGCAGGGCCAGCGGUCACGGUCCCAGCUGCAGUCCUGGGGAGAGGGAGUGACCCCCAGUGUGGUGGGGGAAGCCUCAGCUCCUCCACCUGAACUGGAUUUGAGCCACCGCAGAUAUCCCAGAGGCAGGGCCAGCUUCCUGGCCUGUGACCCAUGCAGUCGCACAGGGCCCUGGUCUCAGAAGGGUCCUGAGCUUGUUUUAAUGCCCUGCCACCGCUGCCUUGAACUUCUGAAUACUUGCUCAACAGAGGCCCUGCGUUUUCAUUUUGUACCGGCCCCCCAAAUUAUAUAGCCAAUCCUGACCACAAUCCUGACCCGCCCAUCGUCAGUUGUCACGUCUCUCCUGGCCCCUGCCAAGUACCCAAUCCCGGGGAGUAGGGUUUCUUGAGCGCCUGCUGGCCGCUUUGCUUAUAUCACCUGAGAUGAACUUCAAAACAACUCCGUGAAUUGGACAGAUGUGGAAAAUUGAGGCUCAGAGAGGCUUCCAUAUGGCAAGGAAGCCUAGAUUUGAACUCAGGUCUCCCUGACUCCAAAGUGAGUACUCUUAGCAGCUCUACAUUCUGCAUGAUUUCAUCUUCAUCAUGCCCAGGGGGAUGGGGAUACACACAGUUAGGCUGCUCUAUGCCCAGAUAACAGAAGGCAUAACUGAGGCCGGAGAAGUGAAGGUUCUCAAAUCAGAGUCAAACCAAGGGCCGGGGCACCGGUGGACCUGGGCCUGGAUCCAUAGGGCUGGGGAUGGAGUCCCAGUUUUAUACUUGUUUGUGCCACUUGUAAAUUUAUUAGCUCUUUCCAUGCAGGUCACUGCCUUGAGUCUGGUCUGGAAUGUGGUUGGAGCCCUGCUCCUUCCCCCUCCCCAACAGCUCUCCAUUCUAAACAUCUGGAAGUCCUUCCUUGUGUCUUCUUCCACUCUUUCAUGCUGCAGUUUUCCUCUGCCACCCUCACUGGUUGGGAAGCAGUUGGAUCUGGCACCUUGAUAAACUCAAAAGAGUCCAAAUUCUUGAUGAAAGUUGGGACUGAACAGAGCCCAAAAUUGCCAUGUCCUGUAACUGGGUCUGGGCCUGAGGCUCAUAGAGCCGGCUGCUAGAUCCAGGGGAGCCAUUUCAUUGUUCCCUGCUGGGUAACCUUGAGCAAGUCCCUUCCCUCUCUGGCCCUGAGACUCCCCUUCAGGGAGAUAAAUGCAUUGGACAAUGCCUGAGCCCCAGGAGGCCUCUCUGUCUUCAACAUUCUCGAAUUCCAUAUUAAUCUACAACAGGUCUGCUCAUUUCCCCAGCUAUGAGCUGGGGAAACCGAGGCCCAGGAAGGCUCAGAGACUUGCCCAACAUCACAGAAGGUGCUUAUUGACAACUGGACUUGACUCUGAGGCUCCUAUCAGCUGGCCUGGCUGCCUCUGCACAAACCUUCGGAGGACCUGGCCUCAGCAUCAGCUCAGCUUGCCCUUGUCCCGCCCCCUCUAGCCCACUUUGGCCUGUCAGGCGUCCUGAGUGUCCAGGCCUGGAAAUCACAGCUAAGGGUCCCUGGCAUGCAAUAAAGUUCCUCUUCUAUGGUUU
Macaca mulatta (Rhesus monkey) is the source of this 2140-nucleotide long non-coding RNA. RefSeq lists it as uncharacterized. NCBI's taxonomy places the organism in Eukaryota, Metazoa, Chordata, Mammalia, Primates, Cercopithecidae. The record is from RefSeq and is a predicted model, not a curated record.